UCUGUGAAGAAGCUCUGCUCUCUCCAUCAAUGGCAAAAUCAGUGGCGACGGCGACUUCCUCCCUCGUGCAAACCCUCAGGCGAUACGUCAAGAAGCCGUGGGAGAUAACCGGACCUUGCGCUCACCCGGAGUACCUCGAAUCCGUUCCGAAGGCGACGGAGUAUAGGAUCCGAUGCCCCGCCACGAUCGAUCAAGAGGCGAUCGUGCCGACGUCGGAUCCCGAGACGGUGUACAACAUCGUGUACCACGGUAGAGAUCAGCGGCGUAACCGUCCGCUGAUAAGGCGAUAUCUGUUGAAGAAGGAGGACGUGGUGAGUGAGAAGAAGACGUUCGAGGAGACGGACUUCCCUAGGGUUUACUUGACGACCACUGUGGAGGAGGAUGAGAACGCACGUGGCGGAGGCUACGAGUAGACAAACAGGUGAGGAGUUCGAUUCCUAUUUGGCAUGAGAUUGUUUGAUUGCUAAGGUCAAAAUGAGAUUGUUUGUAGAAUGAGCUGGAUAUAGUGAAAGUUAUGUUCUUAAUGGCAUUGGAACUUUGAUUUCGAUAUGUUGUUAUAAAAGUUUCUUAAUUGGCGAAUGAAUGUUGAUUUGUGUAAGGUCAAAGUUUUGGCUUGUGUUAAGUGCAUUCAUUUGGCUUCUCCUUUGAUUUCGAGAGCUGUAAACUUUCUGACCAAGUUCAUUGUGUCCUUAACGGUAUGGUUGUUUUUGUAGGGUUUAUAGCUACUUCUCCCUACUGCUUUAGUUUCUUUCAGAGAGCCUGACUUGUCAUUUUGGUCUUAGCUAGAUGAAAUUUCUGAAGCUCAGUUAGUUUAGCUGCGACAUUGUAGAUUGUUACACGGAAUCUUUUUGUAGCAGUAUCAAGAAAGGGCAAGUUUGGAACUGUGAGUAACCUGUUGAGAUAGGUUUAUCUAGCUGCUGGAGUUCUGACCAGUCAGAUAGAUAGUGUCUCUGAUUUAUGUGUUAGCUUACAGUAUAAUACUGCUGCAACAGUUUAGUAAUCCAAAAUUAUUCUUGUACAAGUCUUACUGCCUAAAAUAAGAAAAUUUCAAUCGUCAAAAUACUCGUUUAAAUGGUUAUUGUUAUCUGCCUUCCUUUGUAGGUUUUCUUGUAGUCUCUGACUUGCUGAUGGGCGAAGGACUGCGUGUGAUAUUUCUCUACCGACAGACGAUUUUCCAUGGUUUGCUUUACUAAUAAGGUCUGUAGUAGCUUAAUGUACUGCAAGACACACUAUUUUUCUUCACAGGAAUUAGAUUGUUGUUCAGACAUUCUCCCUAUCUUUACGCAUAUCUAUGAUGAUGAUAAACUCAUGAUUGUUUCAAGUCUUUAGUUUUAUUAGAAAUGGUUGCUUAUGUAAUAACACAGAGAGAAACAGGUAGUAGUGCCUGUGUUCUUGCGGUCCCUUUUUCUGAUUCAUCAGCGACAAGAAAAAGAAAUUAAAAAAAAAAUGAAAAGGAAGAAGAAGCAGAGACUGUGAAAAGCCAGAAUGCCACCAAACUUUGUCUGCAUUGAUUCAUGGAUGUGUGUGUUUUAUAGAUAUUACCCCAAACGACUGUUUCUUUCAACUGUUUUGCUUCUGUCUCUGGCAAGGAUAUGUCAUUGUCUCUCUCUCGGCAUGUGCCUUUUGCAUUUACUGUCGUACAGACAGAGAACGACGGCUCAGGAUUAAAGAGAAAUAACACUCUUGUGUUUGCAAUUUUUGGUCCAAAACGUGUCUGUGAUAAUGCAUUAGUCUUUACGUACACAUAUUCCAACUUUCUUUAUGGUUACUAAAGCGUUUCAACCGCACUGUCUGUGACCGUUUGCACACAAUGUGGGUUUUGCAGUUGGUGAAAGAUAGAGAAUAUGAUGUUUAGUCCCAACUAGAGAAACUUCACAAUCUCUGAUAUACACAUUUAUUCAAGCUACUUGUACAUUGUGGUCUGAUUGGUAAAUCAAAACUACAAUUAUUUAACGUGUUUAGUAGAAGCAAAACAGUAAUAUAUAUCUAGCAGUGUGGUAAGAAAUUAGAAUAUUAUAAUUUUUUAGGUAAAUUCAUUAUUCAGAAUUAGAAAUUCUUGAAGAAAAUGUUCAAAAAAAUUCGCCUGAAAUUAUGUUGAAAUGGAGCUCUAUUUAACUUAAGUAUAAAAAUCAGAAAAACCGUUCAUUGAUACGUAAGCAUGUCGUCAUUUUUCAGAAAAUGGUACAUUCACAGGAAUCUUUAAUUAAGAAUUUGAUAUUUUCUUUUUGCUAUAAGCAAAUUGAUAUUAUUGUAAUUCUGUGUGGACUGAGUGUAUAUCUAAAAUAAAUGCUAGAAAGAAUCAUCAAAACUCUCACUGCCAUUCAUAUAGUGGUCCAUGAAUCUCUCUGUGUAUCAAGGCAUAUUAUAUAUACAAGAUGCUUUUAACAAAAACCUACUCUCUUUCAUUUGGUCCAUCCUCUAAAACCAACCAUUUUAGCUAUCAAUCUAAAUGCCUACUGUAAUAUGUACGACCACAAACAUGUAUAUCAUUAUAGAACUUAAUUGGGAUCAUCUCAUGAUGAUAAAUUUAUAAGGAUACAUAAAUAACUGAAUUGCCUCUGCUCCAAAAGUAUAAGUUGGUACCUAGUUAUUAUUAACUAUGGCUUAGAAUGAUAAAAGGAAAUAGAGAAUGUGUAAUGAAAAUUUGAAUUUUCUUAUAAAAACAUGUUAGUAGAAAGAAAAAAAUGUUAGUAGAAUGGAAGGGAAGAUAUAUAAGUUUCAGGUAAACGGUAACAAAUACAUUGAAGUGGAUUAAUAUUUGAAUCUCAGGAUCUAAAUAAUCAGAUACGUGUGUGUGUGUGUGCGCGCAUAAUUUCUGAACCAAUUAUAAUGUUUUGAAUCUUGAUUAACCAUCUAAUCCUAUCUAUUAUUAGUAUAGGUGGAACCGUGGAAACCCAUAGCAUCUUUUGUGUCCGUCGACAACGUUUCGAUAAGAAUGUCUAGGCUCCUUUUAUACCCUUGUCUGUAAAUUCAUUUCACACCCAACUAAAACCCUAGCUAGGAAUUAGAGAGUAUAUAUAUUAAAUAUAUCAUUUCUUUCUUAGCGUCAAUCAUGUACUGCACACUUCUACUUUAACUUUACGUGUUUCAUCAUCUAGGUUCUUAUCUUUUUCUUCAACUUAUGUGACCAAGAAUCACUCGAUCUGUCUAAACUUAGCGGAUUCAAGCUUACUAGGUUUCCACUGUAAGUUGUAUCAUUCUUUUUCUUUGCAAUAAUUUGUCUGGAGUCCAUGAAUCUCUUUGGAUUGUUUUAGAUGUAUCUAUAUAGAUUUGAAUCACUUGGGAUCUUUUUUUGUCAUACAAAAUUUAUAGCAAAUUAAAUUGUUGAUCUGCAGUUCGAUUAAUUUACUAAAAGCUUCUUUUUCUCAUACUUUCUUGAUCUUGAUCCGUUUUUGUUGCUUACAAUUGAAUUUGCUUUCAUUUCAUGUGAUUACAAAUCUCAAGUUUGAUUUAUUCAAAUGUUUUUUUUUUGUUUCAGAUCCUUCGAUAAAAUACCAAAGGAUGAGAACCAACUCAAUGGGAAUAAAACAAGAAGGCGAUAAUCAAUAUCAAGCCACUUCUUUGUCUUCGUUGAGGCAAAAUCCGAGAAUCGUGAGAGCCUCGAGAAUAUUCGGAGGCAAAGACAGACACAGCAAAGUGUGCACAGUUCGUGGUCUUCGAGACAGGAGGAUAAGAUUGUCGGCUACCACAGCAAUUCAGCUCUACGACCUUCAAGAACGAUUAGGGCUAAGUCAGCCUAGCAAAGUCAUUGACUGGCUCUUAGAAGCUGCUCAAAACGACGUCGCUAUGCUUCCCCCUUUGCAGUUCCCACCUGGUUUUCACCCUAAUCUCACCGCCGCCGCCGGAGAAUCUUUCCCCGGGUAUUUUGAAAGUUUCGACCUUGGAAGCUGCUCAUCAAGAACUGAUACGACCCUGCAGAGAGAAGGUUUGAAUCUUGAGAGUCAUGGGUUUGAUAUUGAUCAUCAUUUUUUCUCGAACUCAAACCAUAGAGACAAGCUUUAUUUCCCUAGCAGCAGCUCUUGUCAUUACAACCUCGGACAACUCCAACAGUCACUUCUGGACCAAUCUGGCAACGUUACUGUCGCAUUGUCCAAUAAUAAUCAUCUUAAUCCAUCGGCGGUGGAAACUAUGAGCUCUCUAUUUCCGAGAUACCCUUUGUUUCAUGAGGGUGGUGAUCAGCUUCAACUGUUUAGCUCAAACUCGAACUCCUCGAAGCAAACAGAUCAUGUCGAGUAGUUCUAGCUGGCAGCUUGGUUUUGGACUCUUUCAUAAAUUGAUGCGUCGGAUCAUGUGGCAGAUGGAUGGUGUAUACUAUAUAGAUCAUUUACAUGGUUGUGGACCUCAGAGUGCCACAAAGCUUUCAGCUGGUCCAUUGAGAUCACACUCUUCGCCAUCGCUGCUUGCUAAAAAUCGAAACUUUUGAUCGAGAAAUCGUCGGUAUGUCACUUCAAUGCAUCUAUUAACCCUUUUAAGGGUUUAGGGCUUAUUAAAUUACGAAACUAACCUUUACUAAUAAAACUCUUUUUGGUAACUGACAUGGAGUGAUUCCAUCCAGACAAAACCGCGAGAAGGCGACCAACGAUAAUCGAACACGUGCACAACACAAUCUUAACAAUCUCAUCUACAAGACUACAACCUCUGGUUCCUCCAUCGAAGAAAAAAAAGCUUCAGACAAAACCAGAGAGAGUGUUACAAAAUGGCGGCUAAUUCAAUAUGCUCGUCUUUAUCAGUGCACUCCAUGGCGAACAAGAAGCCUUCACCUUCCGCAACAAGAACCAUAACCUCAAAGAAGGUAAUACACAAUUCAAAUUUUCGAUUUUUAUAGUCUCUUAUCUGAUAUUUCAUUCAAUCUACCACAGGGCACAACAAGUGGACAGGUGAAGCUACUGACAAGAGUCGAGCAGCUCAAGCUUCUGACCAAAGCCGAAAAGGCUGGACUUUUGUCCUUAGCCGAGAAAUCAGGUUUCUCUUUAUCCACCAUCGAGCGGCUCGGACUGCUCACCAAAGCAGAGGAGUUCGGCGUUUUGUCCGCCGCUACUAACCCGGAAACGCCUGGAACGUUAUUCACACUGAGCCUCGGUUUACUCCUUCUCGGACCGGUUUUCGUCUACUUGGUCCCUGAGGAUUACUCUUGGCAAGUGGUGGUUCAGCUCGUGGUGGCUCUCGUCUCCGUUCUCGGUGGCUCCGCUGCUUUCGCUGCUUCCGGUUUUGUCUCCAAUUUGCAGAAAUCUGAUUAGACCGGUUAUUUCGAUUUUUGUUAAACCGGUCGGGUUUUGUAUUUGAUCUGAAUUGCUUCAAGCUCAUUUCUAUGUUUAUGUAAAUGGUUAAGCCCGUUAUAUAAGGCCCACUAAUAAAUAAGCCCAUGAAAUAUCAACCAAUCCUUUAUUUAAGAGGUUAAAUCUCGGUUUAAUGUCGAACCAAUCCUCAAUAUCAGAAUCGAACCAAAUCAAACCGGUUUCUUCUCCAUUUCACUCAGCCAAAUCUGUGAAGAAGCUCUGCUCUCUCCAUCAAUGGCAAAAUCAGUGGCGACGGCGACUUCCUCCCUCGUGCAAACCCUCAGGCGAUACGUCAAGAAGCCGUGGGAGAUAACCGGACCUUGCGCUCACCCGGAGUACCUCGAAUCCGUUCCGAAGGCGACGGAGUAUCGGAUCCGAUGCCCCGCCACGAUCGAUCAAGAGGCGAUCGUGCCGACGUCGGAUCCCGAG
This 5705-nucleotide long non-coding RNA is filed under the name Brassica napus (rape). RNAcentral describes it as "long non-coding RNA (BNAP_LNC001986)". Lineage: Eukaryota; Viridiplantae; Streptophyta; Magnoliopsida; Brassicales; Brassicaceae. The record is from RNAcentral.